AGUGAACGCUGGCGGUAGGCCUAACACAUGCAAGUCGAACGGCAGCACAGUAAGAGCUUGCUCUUACGGGUGGCGAGUGGCGGACGGGUGAGGAAUACAUCGGAAUCUACUUUUUCGUGGGGGAUAACGUAGGGAAACUUACGCUAAUACCGCAUACGACCUACGGGUGAAAGCAGGGGAUCUUCGGACCUUGCGCGAUAGAAUGAGCGGAUGUCGGAUUAGUUGGUUGGCGGGGUAAAGGCCCACCAAGGGGACGAUCCGUAGCUGGUCUGAGAGGAUGAUCAGCCACACUGGAACUGAGACACGGUCCAGACUCCUACGGGAGGCAGCAGUGGGGAAUAUUGGACAAUGGGCGCAAGCCUGAUCCAGCCAUACCGCGUGGGUGAAGAAGGCCUUCGGGUUGUAAAGCCCUUUUGUUGGGAAAGAAAAGCAGCAGGUUAAUACCCCGCUGUUCUGACGGUACCCAAAGAAUAAGCACCGGCUAACUUCGUG
This 492-nucleotide ribosomal RNA is filed under the name uncultured bacterium. RNAcentral describes it as "partial 16S ribosomal RNA". It matches the Rfam family "Bacterial small subunit ribosomal RNA", at positions 29 to 507 of the family's 1533-position model. The record is from RNAcentral.